Molecule: long non-coding RNA, 1462 nt
Organism: Bos taurus (domestic cattle)
Lineage: Eukaryota; Metazoa; Chordata; Mammalia; Artiodactyla; Bovidae
Source: Ensembl
UGGGCCCACCUGACUGUAGCCAUCACUUCAGACCAAGAUACGGAUGUAGGUCAAGCCUGUGAGAGGGGGCAGGGGACCAGCUUGGCAGUGGGGAAGGACUGAGAGGGCCCAGCAGACACCAGCAUGCCAUGGGGGAUGCGGGGGAAGGGGCUGUGCCAGAUGUUUCAAGGAUCGAGGCCAGGGCAGGGGGGUCAGCUAGGGCUCCUUCAUAAGAACAACUUCCUAACAGGUAUUGUAUCUAACUUGCAAAUAAGCAAACAGGCUGAAACGGCCAUAUUUGAAGCUGACAAGGGUGUGAAGAAUUCUGGUCAGUCUACUGUCUUUUACCCCAAACUCCACUUCUUGAGUGAACAAUCAUUAACAGGACAAAGAAAAGGGGGCAGGAUACAAACUCUGGAAGUGUGACCAUGGAGCAAAGACUCCAGCAAUGGUCGAAGGCCUGGGUAACACUGUCCUCUGUGCUGGAGUGGCCAGCCCAAGAGGGGAAGGUGACUUGGCACUCCAACAUCAUUUCAGAAUUGUUAAAAUGAACUGUCUCAGAUAAAAUGUAAGAAAGACUCGGCUAUAAAGUUUUUGCUACUUUUCAUACAAUUGCUUUUGAAAUUAUUUGACUACAAGUAACUCACUGACCAGCAACAACCAGUGCUGCUGGGCAGUCAUCAAGCAUCUCAGAGUUGUGUGCAAAGUAGGAAAAUCUACCCUAUAAACUUUGUUCAGUGUCCUGAAUACUCACUUUUAGGGAUGGUGAAGGUGUCAUAUUCUGCUCCGAGAUACAGAUGUUAAGAGAACUCCACUUUUGCUUCUUUUUUGCAUUUUAGGCCCAGGCCCCUGACCAACCCCUGGGGUGUCCAGGCCCUUCCUCCAGUCAUACCUUCUGGAGGAUCCCAAGGAAAACCCUUCCCCUGCACCUCGUGGCCCAAACCCUGCCUGUAGACGCCAGAGGUAGGCAGAUACCACCAUCCAUUAACUGACCCUCUGGCCAAGAUCUAAAGGAGAAACUAUUAAUUUUAAAACAAUAUGAAGCUAAAUAUAUGAAAGUCUGACAAGAAGAAUAGGCCUUGGACUUCCCUAGUGGUACAGCGGAUAAUAAUCCACCUGCCAAUGCUGGGGCACGUGUUUGAUCCCCGGUCCGGACAGAUUCUGCAUGCCACAGAGCAACUAAAAACCGUGCACCCAACUACUGGAGCCCAUGCUCCUGGCCCAUGCGUGCUCCGCAACAAGAAAAGCCACCACGAUGAGAAGCCCACGCAUUGCAACAGAGUAGCCCCUGCUCGCCACAACUACAGAAAGCCCCCGGACAGCAACACGUACCCAGUGCAACCGAAAUAAAUACUUUUUUUUAAGUAGGCCUUAAGAAGAGCCCAUUAGAAACUUCUCUGGCGGCUGACCAAGACACCAAACUUCCAACGCUGACGGCAUGGGUUCAAAAACUAGGUCCCACAUGCGGAAACUAACACCCAGG